AACGAACGCUGGCGGCAUGCCUAACACAUGCAAGUCGAACGAUGCCUUCGGGCAUAGUGGCGCACGGGUGCGUAACGCGUGGGAAUCUGCCUUUCGGUUCGGAAUAACUCAGGGAAACUUGAGCUAAUACCGGAUAACGUCGCAAGACCAAAGAUUUAUCACCGAAAGAUGAGCCCGCGUAGGAUUAGCUAGUUGGUGAGGUAAAGGCUCACCAAGGCGACGAUCCUUAGCUGGUCUGAGAGGAUGAUCAGCCACACUGGGACUGGGACACGGCCCAGACUCCUACGGGAGGCAGCAGUGGGGAAUAUUGGACAAUGGGCGAAAGCCUGAUCCAGCAAUGCCGCGUGAGUGAUGAAGGCCUUAGGGUUGUAAAGCUCUUUUACCCGGGAAGAUAAUGACGGUACCGGGAGAAUAAGCCCCGGCUAACUCCGUG
RNAcentral lists this ribosomal RNA (433 nucleotides) under uncultured bacterium. RNAcentral's name for it is "partial 16S ribosomal RNA". It matches the Rfam family "Bacterial small subunit ribosomal RNA", at positions 29 to 507 of the family's 1533-position model. The record is from RNAcentral.